GGGGGGGGGGGGGGGGGGGGGGGGGGGGGGGGGGGCGGGCGGGGGGGGCGGGGGGGGGGGGGGGGGUGGGGGGGCGAGCGGGGGGGUAAGGCGGGGGUAAGCUGCGCUUGACGGUGGGAUAACUUCAGGAAACGGGGGGUAAGACCGGAAGGGAGCUCCUGCUGCAGGGUGGGGGGUGGAAAGUUUCGGGGGUUGGGGAGGGACGCGCGGCUGAUCAGCUUGUUGGUGGGGGAGUGGCUUACCAAGGCUUUGACGGGUGGCCGGCCUGAGAGGGUGACCGGCCACAUUGGGGCUGAGAUACGGCCCAGACUCCUACGGGAGGCAGCAGUGGGGUAUAUUGCACAAUGGCCGGAAGCCGGAUGCAGCAACGCCGCGUGCGGGAUGACGGCCUUCGGGUUUUAAGCCGCUUUCGCCUGUGACGAAGCGUGAGUGACGGUAAUGGGUAAAGAAGCACCGGCUAACUACGUG
RNAcentral lists this ribosomal RNA (468 nucleotides) under uncultured bacterium. Its description in RNAcentral is "partial 16S ribosomal RNA". The stretch from base 61 to 468 matches the Rfam family "Bacterial small subunit ribosomal RNA", at positions 39 to 507 of the family's 1533-position model. The record is from RNAcentral.